AUCCAUAAAAGCUACAGAGACAUUUGUCAAGCCGAAAGGUAUUAUUAAGAAUUCAUAAUGAAACUCUUAUUUAACCAUUCUUAUUGUUGCUUCUUUAAUUCCACUAACUCGAGAGGUAUCAUUCUAUAGGGAGGCUUAGAUAUUGGGGUAGUCCCCAGAGACCAAAUCAUUAACAAAUUCACCUUCUCCAUUUGGAGGUAAUCCGAGCAAGUCAUCCGAGAAUACAUCAGGGAACUCUCUAAACACAGAAGUAUCAUUUAGAUUAGUUUCUUGAUCUGAA
RNAcentral lists this long non-coding RNA (280 nucleotides) under Musa acuminata (dwarf banana). Its description in RNAcentral is "long non-coding RNA (MACU_LNC009895)". Lineage: Eukaryota; Viridiplantae; Streptophyta; Magnoliopsida; Zingiberales; Musaceae. The record is from RNAcentral.